RNAcentral lists this ribosomal RNA (465 nucleotides) under uncultured Klebsiella sp. Its description in RNAcentral is "bacterial SSU rRNA". It matches the Rfam family "Bacterial small subunit ribosomal RNA", at positions 338 to 795 of the family's 1533-position model. The record is from RNAcentral. Lineage: Bacteria; Pseudomonadati; Pseudomonadota; Gammaproteobacteria; Enterobacterales; Enterobacteriaceae.
CCUACGGGCGGCUGCAGUGGGGAAUAUUGCACAAUGGGCGCAAGCCUGAUGCAGCCAUGCCGCGUGUGUGUAGAAGGCCUUCGGGUUGUAAAGCACUUUCAGCGGGGAGGAAGGCGGUGAGGUUAAUAACCUCAUCGAUUGACGUUACCCGCAGAAGAAGCACCGGCUAACUCCGUGCCAGCAGCCGCGGUAAUACGGAGGGUGCAAGCGUUAAUCGGAAUUACUGGGCGUAAAGCGCACGCAGGCGGUCUGUCAAGUCGGAUGUGAAAUCCCCGGGCUCAACCUGGGAACUGCAUUCGAAACUGGCAGGCUAGAGUCUUGUAGAGGGGGGUAGAAUGCCAGGUGUAGCGGUGAAAUGCGUAGAGAUCUGGAGGAAUACCGGUGGCGAAGGCGGCCCCCUGGACAAAGACUGACGCUCAGGUGCGAAAGCGUGGGGAGCAAACAGGAUUAGAUACCCUAGUAGUC